This 390-nucleotide ribosomal RNA is filed under the name uncultured bacterium. Its description in RNAcentral is "bacterial SSU rRNA". It matches the Rfam family "Bacterial small subunit ribosomal RNA", at positions 28 to 420 of the family's 1533-position model. The record is from RNAcentral.
GACGAACGCUGGCGGCGUGCUUAACACAUGCAAGUCGAGCGGUAAGGCCCUUUCGGGGGUACACGAGCGGCGAACGGGUGAGUAACACGUGGGUGACCUGCCCUCAGCUCUGGGAUAAGCCCGGGAAACUGGGUCUAAUACCGGAUAUGACUCCAUGACGCAUGUUGUGGGGUGGAAAGCCUUGUGCGGCUGAGGAUGGGCCCGCGGCCUAUCAGCUUGUUGGUGGGGUGAUGGCCACCAAGGCGACGACGGGUAGCCGGCCUGAGAGGGCGACCGGCCACACUGGGACUGAGAUACGGCCCAGACUCCUACGGGAGGCAGCAGUGGGGAAUCUUGCGCAAUGGGCGAAAGCCUGACGCAGCGACGCCGCGUGAGGGAUGACGCCUGUGU